Molecule: long non-coding RNA, 1667 nt
Filed under: Malus domestica (apple)
Lineage: Eukaryota; Viridiplantae; Streptophyta; Magnoliopsida; Rosales; Rosaceae
Description: long non-coding RNA (MDOM_LNC004171)
Source: RNAcentral
UCCCAGAAAUGUAAAAUAUAAAUAUACAUAUAUAUUCUCAAAACUUCAUUUUUACUAUCUCAACAUUAUCUCUUUAUCAAUCAUGCCAUGCCAUGUCUAAUUCAACAGUUAAGUAUGGAUGCAUCAACAAUAAUCAUAUCAGGUGCAAGAAAGUAAUCAACCGUAGGCCCUCUAAUAGCCCUGUACGGUUGAACCUAGAGCUCAAAAUCUCAUCUAACCGGAGUCACCAACUGUGACCUGUUCGGCCAUGCCGGAGUCACCUAGUAUGACCUGUACGGCACUACACUGCACAUAAGUCGGAAUUACCUAAUAUAAUCUGUACGACUUAAUGGUAGAAUAAUAUGCUCUAGUGCUUCUCUCAUCAAUCAUCUGUGCACAUAAUCUAAGGUCACCUACCAGUCGGAACCCCUCUAAUGGUCUGUACGACUGGCAUGUCGGAACCACCCCCUGUGGUCUGUACGACUAGCAUCUACUUGGAUCCAAGGUGAGCAUGCGAUGCGGUGAAUAAUAAUAAGCACUAAUACCAAGGUGCAGGUUAUGAGCUCAAUAUAUCUCAACAUCAUCAUAACAAUAAUAAAUACUCACCUGAUACUCACCUGUGCGUCCACCGCACCAAUUCAUACAAAUGCAUCAUAUAUCAAUUCAUACUUUUAUAUACUUAUAUACAUGGCAUCUCAAAUCAUAUCUUUCAUAUAAAUCUACUCAUGGCAUUUGAAAACAUACUUUUAUACUUUGCAUUUAAAGCAUACUUUCGUAACAUUUUCAAUUUCUGGGAAACGUCAAUUAUAUAUGUAUACGGAAAACAAAACUGCCCACUCACCUGGAGUUCGUCCAACAACUCCUUAGCACCACACAUCAAGGCGUCAUGACGAUCGCCGCCUAGAACAGUAAUCAAAUCCAACCUCAGAAUUCAUAUCGAUAGAAUAUAUAACUUAUAUAAAAUACGUCACUAUGUAGAUCGAUCCGGAAGAUCUGCCACUCAGAUUUUAAAUCCAUAACUUCCAGAGGUCCACAAUAUAUCUCUAGGACAACAUCCUAAAAUUUCAUUACCAUCCAACGGUCGGAUCUCCGUCAAUUUCCAAAACUAAGUGAUGGUUAACAUUUUAUAUUAUGGACUUACAACUCCAAUUCCGGAAGAUCCGUAAAUCGGAUUCCCAAUCCGUAAGUUCCAAUAAUCCUCAAAUAUUACGUAUUACUACGUAUCAAAAUUUAGUGACGAUCUAACGGUCGGAUCGUCAAUUCACAUUUUCACCUAAAUGUGAAAACUAUAAAACGUUAUUCGAACACCUAACCAACAAUCUUUAAUAACUUUCUCAUACGGUACUCAAUUUGGGUAUAUGAAUAUACCACGGUGAUCUACUCGACGUCACGGACGUCGACAUAUUUUUAAAAUAAUUUGUUACUGUAGAACGCGCCCCCACGCGCCAAGGAAGGCACGGACCUACGCGCCCCCACGCGCACCUUCUUCUUCCUUGGGUCGCCGGACUGGUUUUUCCGGCGGCCGUCUUUCAAAUUGCCAUAACUUUGUCAUUUCUCAACGAAAUCAAGUGAUUCAAAAACGAAAGUUGUAGCCCUUGAAGAUACAAAGAGAAUGGUACCUUGCACAAUACCUAGUUCGCCGUGGUUUGGCCGGAAACUGCCUCGAAAGCCUCGGAGGUCGCCGGAAA